Molecule: ribosomal RNA, 55 nt
Filed under: Polylepis tomentella subsp. tomentella
Lineage: Eukaryota; Viridiplantae; Streptophyta; Magnoliopsida; Rosales; Rosaceae
Description: partial 18S ribosomal RNA
Rfam family: Eukaryotic small subunit ribosomal RNA
Source: RNAcentral
AGGAAGGAGAAGUCGUAACAAGGUCUCCGUAGGUGAACCUGCGAAAGGAUCUUUG